This 253-nucleotide ribosomal RNA is filed under the name uncultured bacterium. Its description in RNAcentral is "partial 16S ribosomal RNA". It matches the Rfam family "Bacterial small subunit ribosomal RNA", at positions 524 to 776 of the family's 1533-position model. The record is from RNAcentral.
UACAGAGGGUGCAAGCGUUGUUCGGAAUUACUGGGCGUAAAGCGCAUGUAGGCGGCUUUCUAAGUCUGGUGUGAAAGCCCGGGGCUCAACCCCGGAAGUGCACUGGAUACUGGUUAGCUAGAGGACGAGAGAGGAUAGUGGAAUUCCUGGUGUAGGGGUGAAAUCCGUAGAUAUCAGGAGGAACAUCAGUUGCGAAGGCUGCUAUCUGGCUCGUUUCUGACGCUGAGAUGCGAAAGCGUGGGGAGCAAACAGG